Molecule: long non-coding RNA, 889 nt
Organism: Syzygium oleosum
Lineage: Eukaryota; Viridiplantae; Streptophyta; Magnoliopsida; Myrtales; Myrtaceae
Exons: 2
Source: RefSeq, a predicted model, not a curated record
UCAACAAAAAGCGAACUUUAUCAACUGCAGACCUCGUCCCAGUCACGAAUCAUAAGCAGCAAAUAACAUCCCACCGCAAUCGAUUUCAAGAAUCUAACAAUUCAUCACCCAAUUUCAGGGACCAAAACAGGAAGUCAAAAGAGACCCAAGCAAAGAAAGAGCAAGAGAGAUCGAGAGAAAGGGGGGAAAAACAACAAAAGCGAAGAAUGUCAUGCCUUAUGGAUCAGCUCUCAGAUCAGGCGAUGGCUUAUCAAGCGAUGCGAAGGGAAGCAAAAGAACACUCGGACUUCGGAUUUCAGUUUGUGGGACUCUGGUCGGCUCCCUCAAGAAAACGGAACUGUGAGAUGUCGAGAAAAUAUGGGUUGCCUCUUGUGAUUCCACCGUGGAAAAAUCCCAGCCCGUCGGAGGCGUCGGCGUCGGCGGCGUCGCUCGUCGGAGGCGGCGUCAGCGUCGGCGUGAGGAGACGGACCUCGCUCGUCGGAGGCAGCGGACCUUGCUCGUGGGAGGCGACGGCUCGUGGGAGGUGACGAACGUCGCUCGUGGGCAGCGGCGGACCUUGCUCGUCGGAGGCGUCAUCGGCGUCGGAGGCUAGGGCGGAGGCGGAGGCUAGGGCCUCGCUCGUCGGAGGUGGCGUCGGCGUCGGCGCGGCGUGAGCGAGACGGAGUGCAGAGCAGAUGUGGAUGGGGAGCGCGAAAGAGAGAGAGAGGGCGCCUGAUUUUUUUCAAAAAUUUUCAGCUCAGCUGCUCUUAGCUCGUUGCCGUGAGAGUGAUUCCACCGUGGAGGCCUCCUGACAACGGUGGGUCCCCUGGCACACGUGUCGCCACCUCAGGGUUGUUAUUUCUCCACGGUGGAAUCACAAGGGGCAGCCAAUAUUAUCUCCACAAUAUAA